UCAUUUACAAGAACAAAACAGAACAUAUGCUAGUUUAGAUCCAUACAAGAUUUUCUCAAAUGCUUAUUAGGGCAUAACACACAACACAUGUUGUGCUAUAGGAAGAACGCAUAAACAGAGGAAAUUGGACAUAGAAUCGUUAAGUAGGUGUACUAAAAAGCACACAAAACAUGUACUAAAAAAGAACACAACUCCUUAGCGUUUGCAUUAGCCUCCUAUGGCAGAGGUGAACGGUCUGAUCGCUGCGUCAUCGCACGGCCUCGUGUGGCCGAGGUGAACGGCCUGUGGUGGUAAGGGUGAACGGCUUGAGCGUUGCAUCGUCGAACGGCCUCGUGUCGAGGCAGUGAACGACCUGGGCCGUGAAGGUUGAAGCAGGGGGUGUUGAGAGGCUGUGUGGGACUAAUACUGCACUGUCAGAAUCAGUUUUGUAGCUGCUCACCACGCACACCUACUCAACUGCUCCGUGCCACCGUCCCUCUACGCAUAAGUACACUUGCCGCCUACCCGUUGUCGUUGGAUGUACCUUGCACACACACAACAGCCAACCAAUUAGCAUGCACAAGUUCUGUACAGUAACAUUACAAAUUUGCAAUGAAACCUAAAAAGUUCUGUACUUUGAAAUACUUCAUUUUACUUUCCAAAUACCUUUUUUUAAAUAUGAACUUCUAUAUUUAUUUCCUUAGAACUUAUUAUUAUUUCCCUCCGAACAAAAAAACAUGAUUGGUUUAUUUACCCAUAAAAUAUUUGAAGUAUGUCAAAUGAAAAAACAUUCCUAGGCCUGGAAGUGAGAAAACACAUUACACUCAUCGAGGUAGAUAUCAUUCUGUGCGUACCUUGCCAUAGACCACAUCGGAUUUUAAGAUUCUAGAUGAACUUCAGCAAAGUGAAGUGAAACCUUUUUCUAACCUGAGAACUGCAGAAAAUUAGCUUGAUUUAUUUAACCUAAGCAAAUAAACUCUUAACUACUUAUGGCAAGUAUAUUUGAACUGAUGUAUCCUUUUUCUAGUUACUGAAUUGUUGUAGUAUUACUUCCUGCCCUUCCAAACUCGUACUGAAAACAUGUACCAAAGAACAUCAUGCAUCAGUGUUCAGAAGACAUACAAGAGCUACACACUGCCGUGAGGUACCAACUUUUCAACGGUUCAGUUCAAAAUUCAACAAUUCAAUUUUCAAUAGAUCAAACCAAGGAAAGACAACUGACCGAAGGGGUGGCCAACGGCCACAGUUGCUCACUGCGUGCACGACAGUGUCCAACAACCUCUAUCCUGGCUCAUUGUGGAACGACGUGCUGGGCGUAAUCCACGGCCUGGCAUAUGAGAUGCAAAAAAGAGUUAGAGAGGACUUAAGCUAAUUUUUUAUAGCUGAUGAUGUAGCAUUACAAAAAAUAAUAUACUUUAGCCCAUAAAUGCAAAGUACUAUGAACUUUUCCGGAGCUUUUUGUUGAACUGAAGCAUGCUCCAGAGCAGGACGAGAUCGAGCGGAUUGGGAGGAUGCUGAGCAACAUAUUGGAGAUGCAAGACCACAUUACAUCAAUUAGCGAUGUCACUGAACUUUGGGACAUUUAUACUACAAGAAUUGAUUCUACAGCAAUCUUGAACUUUCAAGUUCCAUACGCAAGAUAGCUACAAUUUGCUAAAAUCAAUCACCAGCAGAAAAAACACCAAAAGGUUCUUCAAAUGGUUGCUUGAGGAAGAGCCAAAGCUAUUUUGGGGUGGCGGACGGCAGCAGCAUGUGGGCUGGGUUGUCUCGCACUGGGAAGGAUGAGGAAAACGGCAACCCAACCACUAUAGUGGGAAUAGGAGCUGACGGCCGUGGACUGCUGCUUGGCUGAACUCGAUCGUCCGGAUGCCACGGGGCUGGAUUGGGGACGGCGCUGGACAUAUUGCAACAAUUACCAAGGAGCUUAGAGCAGCAGUGUACAUCGGCAAUGGACUGCUCAUGGCGAAGUGCGUGCCUCCCAAGCCGCGGCGUCGAACUACUUCGAGUUGUGUUGUUGAACAACCCGGUGUGGCGAUGGUGAACGGCAUGGGCGGUGCCGCGGUGGAGCCCCACCAGCAGUGGCAGGAAGCUCGACACAAUCGGCCUAGUAGCUACGACGGUGAACGGCCUGGGGUGGCCGGGUUGGAUGCUGGUCGCAGUGGCGGCGAACCCAACGCCCUGGCCACACCGGGAUGGUAGGCAACCAGAAGGAGCGGAGGGGCGUGUCCACGACGGAGAGAUUGAAAGGCCUGUGGUUGCGGCGUUGAACUGCCUGUACGCGACAGUGGAGCGAUAGCAGCGCAUGAAUCUGGUAUAGGCGACAGCCAUGGUGGUCGUUGUGUUGCAGUGCGGCGGCCCUAUUUGUCUAUCGGCAAGCUAGAUGUAUGUGUUAAAAAUGGCUAAUGCAGCAUUGGUGGAGCUAUGUGUAUUACUGCAGGGGCCAUGCCCCCCAGCUCUUGGAUUUUUUGUGAAGAAAUUCUGACAAAGAAGACGAAUAGGGCAGGAACAUUGCUUUAUUUGACAAAACUCAUUGGCUGAGGUGGAUUUGGUAGUGGGUUCAUGUUAGGUGUUACAGGAACAUUGACAUUUGAAGAGGCCUUGUCUUGCCCAGAGAUCUGUCAAAAAUAAAGGGCAUAAUCUCAGGGUUGAGUCUUUUACUACUACUUCGUAAAUAAAUAUAUAAACUGAAAUCUAGUAAUGGUAAGAACCUCAGGUAUUGGGUUGGACCUAGAAUCAACUAUUCAGAGAAUGUAACUCACUAUACCAUAAGAACAACACACUGCAAUCUAUACUACAACAAAUUAGAUAACCAGGGAGAAAAAAGAAACGCGCCGCAAAUUUAAGUGUUCUAUUGUGAAGCCGAACAAGGCCAGAAAACAGCCUAACAGCAUACUGGGCAAUCUCCUCUAUUUCAUACUCAGCAAAAGCAAAACGUUUGGGUCGACUAGUUUCCUUGUCACGGGGUAUGUGCAAGUCUACUACACGACCUACCUGAAUAAGAAUCUCAUACAAAACCCUCUCCGAGACCUUUUCAUCCAAGUUACCUAUUUAAGAAAUACACAGUUCAAGAAUUAAUACAGUACUGGUGAUUACUCCAUUAUAUUUAGGCAUGCAAAAAAGAGAGGCAAAGUGGAACAAUAACAAUCGUUGAAAAAUAGCGAAACUAGAGUACAGCAACACGUCAACCAUGGUAAACAUAUAUAUGCAAAAAAGAGGGGCAAAGUGGGACAUGAACAAUCAUUGAAAAAUAGCAGAACUAGAGUACUGCAACAGUGUCAACUAUGAAAAACAUAGAUCAGUCAACUAGCAGAACUAGAGGAUCUGCAACAGCCUAACAGUAAAUAAAACUGUCAAGGGCCUCGGUGCCCAAGACAGCAGGACCUCGACUACGUAGUUCGUAGUCGCGGUGGAUAGGAGCGCUAGGGUUUUUGCCUGGCUGCUCUAUGAUGCGGGAGGGGAAGAUAGAAGGAAAUAACUUUAUUGCUUAUCCCUAAAGGGUGCUAACUAUCUGAUAUAUAAAGGCCCCAUGGGCUAAUAACAAACUAGAAACCUAUACGAAACAAACUAGUCUAGGAACUAAUGUGCCCGGAUCAGGACUCCUGUCCAGCCUGCGCCUUGCCUGAUGCGGCCAUCGGCUGCUCCUGGCCGCGCGGCCCACGUCUGUAAGACAUGCCCCACAUGACAAAAACCACUAAGAUACCCUGAUACAAAAGCAUGUUCAUUUCUAUCUUACAACAAUGUCUUUCAAGAAGCAUAGUUAGUUAUAAGCUGUGGUGAAUUCCUAUCAGUGACACAAAGUUGUCAGCUACUUAAAUAGGCCCUCUAUGGCUAGCCCUAUAACGUGUACCAUUAAUCCAUGAUGGUCAUAAAUCUCACAACUCUAUCAUUCACACAUCUAACCCUGGAUAAUGCAUUUACUAAGCAGGUUCAAUUUGCAAUUAGAUUUGGUUUUCAGGCAUAUAUGCUUAUGCUGAUUUUCACUAUGUGCAUGCUUACAAAAUUUCAAUUGAAAGCACCACAGAGCCCAGAACACCAAGAAUGAUUGUUGCACAAGGAAAUCAGCAUGUUCAAGUUAAUUAAUCUGCCAAUAUACAAGUAAACAUAGUACAGAGAACAAUAUUCCGAAUCUAGGAGCUAGGUAAGCAACACAUAAGGCAAUCACCGACUGUGCAAGCUUAAUAAUCAAUUAAACUAUACUAUCCAAACUACGGUGAUUGAAGCAUAAACUGUUGUGGCUCUGAAUUUACCGGGGUGCUCUUCGUCGAGCUCCGUUGGCUGAGCGGCCGGGCGAGGUCGCGGAGGCAGAGGUAGGUGGUGUCGGUGGGCAAGGGGCAUGCAUCAGCAGCAGCAGAAAUGCUGCAGCUGAGCUAGACAGUCGUAGGUGCAGUAGCAGCUUGUAGCAAGGAGCGGCCUGCACUCAGCUCCUUGAGCGACUGGCCACAAAACAAGAAGUUGUACUGUUGGGCAGGAGGUCCUCAACCCCGCAACUCCUCCAGCAGGCUCCACUGUUUGCCGUUGAAUUAUAAGCCAUGGCAUUGGAGUGGGAUGCGUCCACACUGACGACAUUGAACAGACAGGGGUGGUGGCUGCGAACUGCCUGUACGUGGUGGUGGCGUAGUACCAUCAGGGAGGAGGAAGAGUGGUGGCAGGGGAGCAUCACCUGCUGCCGGAGGAUAAGUUGGCAAUAUCGUAUUCUAUUAUGUAUUGAACUUAAGUGCAGGGUUGAAUUGAACUUUUCUAACACAUAUUCACUGAACUCGGUCCCCUUGAAUGUUUAUUUUUAUAGUUAUGUUGGCAUGAGGCUAUGAAAUACAUCUCAACAAUUGUUUUUGGGUGAGUUUCAAAAAAUAUAAUACUAAGUGAAAUACUGGGCAAUCUCCUCUAUUUCAUACUCAGCAAAAGCAAAACGUUUGGGUCGACUAGUUUCCUUGUCACGGGGUAUGUGCAAGUCUACUACACGACCUACCUGAAUAAGAAUCUCAUACAAAACCCUCUCCGAGACCUUUUCAUCCAAGUUACCUAUUUAAGAAAUACACAGUUCAAGAAUUAAUACAGUACUGGUGAUUACUCCAUUAUAUUUAGGCAUGCAAAAAAGAGAGGCAAAGUGGAACAAUAACAAUCGUUGAAAAAUAGCGAAACUAGAGUACAGCAACACGUCAACCAUGGUAAACAUAUAUAUGCAAAAAAGAGGGGCAAAGUGGGACAUGAACAAUCAUUGAAAAAUAGCAGAACUAGAGUACUGCAACAGUGUCAACUAUGAAAAACAUAGAUCAGUCAACUAGCAGAACUAGAGGAUCUGCAACAGCCUAACAGUAAAUAAAACUGUCAAGGGCCUCGGUGCCCAAGACAGCAGGACCUCGACUACGUAGUU
Molecule: long non-coding RNA, 5350 nt
Filed under: Triticum aestivum (bread wheat)
Lineage: Eukaryota; Viridiplantae; Streptophyta; Magnoliopsida; Poales; Poaceae
Description: long non-coding RNA (TAES_LNC016515)
Source: RNAcentral